UUGACCUUAAAGGAAAACAAAGAAGACUUAAAUCAGAUGCUGUACCAAGUCUGUUUACAUGGAAAAACUUCCAAUGUGGAAAAGAAAGAAAUCAGCCUGCAGUUCGCCAUCCCAUGUCACAAGCAAAUGCCAACACAAAUCAGAGUGAAAACGUGGACACAGAGACUGCAACAGCAGACGCAGAGCCUGCAACAGAGGCUAUUAAUUAUUAUGAUGAGCAAGAGUAAUUAUCAUGUAUGACUACAUAGAUGUGUGUGUAUCAUUUAUGACAACAUAGAUGUGUGUGUAUAUAUAUAAUGCAUGCUAAAUUAUUGCUCAUUAUACUCCGAAUGCAAAAAUUUGGAAUCAUUUCUUACAGAAUAAACAAAUAAUGAAAU
This is a long non-coding RNA of Pomacea canaliculata, 377 nucleotides long. RefSeq lists it as uncharacterized. Lineage: Eukaryota; Metazoa; Mollusca; Gastropoda; Architaenioglossa; Ampullariidae. The record is from RefSeq and is a predicted model, not a curated record. The transcript is spliced from 2 exons.